Molecule: unclassified non-coding RNA, 258 nt
Filed under: Hevea brasiliensis (rubber tree)
Lineage: Eukaryota; Viridiplantae; Streptophyta; Magnoliopsida; Malpighiales; Euphorbiaceae
Source: RNAcentral
AACCAUGUAAUUUUCGUACUAUGUUUCAAUAUGAAAGGGUUUUAAACUUGGCAAAUAUUCAUAGUGUAUAUAUAUCCAAAAAUAUGUACCCGUAUGGACGAGCGCAUGCUCUGGAUAUCGAUAUUUUUGUCAGCUAUCGACGACUGUCUUUGCUCGCCAUUUAUUAAGUUGGACGAAGUGAUCUUCGUGAUGGAUGAUAAAGAGGAGGAAGUUUUGUAUUCAGGUAGCAGUAAUGAAUCGCUUGUUAUAGCUCUCCAU